Alligator mississippiensis (American alligator) is the source of this 4948-nucleotide long non-coding RNA. RefSeq lists it as uncharacterized. The transcript has 4 exons. NCBI's taxonomy places the organism in Eukaryota, Metazoa, Chordata, Crocodylia, Alligatoridae. The record is from RefSeq and is a predicted model, not a curated record.
UGAACCUGAUCCCGGGGGGAGGGUUCGGAUCAAGAUGGAGGAACCCCGUGCUGUGGUAUCAUUAAAGGUCUGUUCUAUUCCUUGUUCAUAGUUGUCGUUGUUCAUUGCAGAACCUAAACUACUGGUGUAAGAAAUGGUGAAUGGGGAAGAUUGGAUUGAUCUGCUUGAAGAUAAGGAAAGCGAAAGGUUUCAGAAAUGUCUCCAUGAAGAUAAAAACCUUGUUCAUGUUGCCCAUGACCUGAUCCAGAAACUCUCCCCAAACACCAGCAAUGUCCAUGCCAUAUUCUUCAAAAACUGUCUUCAAAGACAAGCAAGUUCUCCAUGCGGGGUCAAACAGAUGUUGCAAAAGAGGGACAACUCAGUGGCUCUGCUGUAGCUCACAUGGAAAUCAAAGGGUGCAGCACUUGAGCAUCCACAUCACAGCAGGAUGGGUUGAGGUGCAGGUGAACUCUCGUGAGGAGUUACUUUCAAGGGCAGUAAAGUAGUCAUGUCAGAGCCUCCAAAGAGGAAUACUACAGCAAAUUCAUAAGGGGCACUUAGGUAUUGAGAAAUGCAAGAAGUGAGCAAGAGAGGUGAUGUAUUGGCCAAGGAUCAAUCAGGACAUUGGUAACAGAGUUAAAACCUGUUUCACCUGCUUGAAAUUCAGACCGUACCAGCAGGCCAAAGCACUAAAGCCUCACCCUGUUCCACACAGGGCCUAUGAGAAAGUGGGCACUGAUCUAUUUAUGCGGAACUCCAGAGUGUAUUUACUAGUUACUGAUUAUUACUCCUUGUAUCCGGAAAUCUGUACACUGCAAUGUACCAGCCGACACUCAGCGAUAGCUUGCUUGAAGGCCAUAUUUGCAAGGCAUGGAAUUCUAGAUGAAGUAUUCAGCAAUAAUGGGCCCCAGUUCUCCAGUGCAGUUUAGGCAAUUUGCCAUGGACUUGGAUUUUUGUCACAGCAAGUCAAGUCCAAAUUAUCCCCAAUCAAAUGACAUUGCAGAAUGAUCACUUCAGAUGGUGAAAAACCUAAUGAAAAAAGCAUUGGACAGUGGAGGUGAUUUAUAUAAAGCACUACUGGCUUAUAGUAGCACACCUACCUGUAAGAGGUCGGUGGUGUGCUGCCUGGAGCCAAGUUGUCUCUCUGCUGGAAUAGUAGCGUUCUGUCCCUUCGAAAGAUCGCCUAACAUGCCGUGUUAGAGAGAGAGGUGCCAAAACACUUUUGGGAAACAAAAAGGGUCGGUUAAAGGCUUAAGAGGUCGGCUUAUCUUCAUAGGGCUCCACCAUCCCCAUCCCCUGCCCUAACCACACCAGAUGUUCCGGGUGUGUUGUUGCUCACCUGUAGUACUGAGGAUCCGGUCUCACUCAUAUGGACCCCUUUGCCAAGGAUCCCCCUCUGAAGUUAGCUGCUUUCCCCGUUCUUCCCUGUACAGGUCCCAAGACAGCCACUUCUUAGUUCUAAUCCCACCCAUAUCUUCAGGCUCAGGAUGGAUUUACCCCCUCCUUGGGUGUAAUCUCAUAUGUGUCUCUGUUCUCCUCUAGGUUCCUGAAGCGGUUACCUUCAACCCUCAGGACUGGAAUCACUGACAGAGCAGUCUUCUCCAUCUCUUCACUGGCUCUCGCCAACAGAGCAGCCUCUUCUAUCUCUUUGCUGGCUUUCAUCAGCGCAGCUUUUUUUCUCUUUUUUGGCCACGCCGUUCUCCCGAUCUGAAGCUUGAACCCUAGCAGCUGGGUUUGCUGCGACAACCUUUGAUCUGCCGCAGCCCAGCUGGUUCCCUAAUUAGUCAGCGCGUGGCGUCUUUCUUGCCCUGUCUCAUCAUGGUUUCCUCGGCGUCUCUAGCUCUCGGACAUCAGCAGAAGAUAUGGUCUUGGAUCAGUCUCAGUUAACUGUUCCUCCUCAUCAUCCUCAGAAGGUGAAGAUACUAAUGAUGCAACAGAGAGCCCCCAAAACCCUAAUGAGGAGCAGAUACCCCAGGGAUCCAGGAGACAGCUCUGCAGAUGCAGGACCUGUAUCUGGCUGUGCAGCUCAUGGCCACUCAAGUCACUAAGGAUAUUUCAACAAGCCUUGGGGAAGCCAUUGUAGAAAGGAGAUGACAGCUGCAGGUGUACCCUGUCCCCUAUUCUUUCUGCAUUUUGUGUUGGGUGCCUGAGGCUGUGCACAACGAGAGAGAGAGAGAGAGAGAGAGAGAAUAAACCAUGUUCUGUGCUCCUCUGGUUGCUGUUGCGUCUCUCCUCCCAAAAGCAGCAGAGAGGAGGGUGAAGUGUGCAUCUGCUUGGUUUGGACUUUAUAGUCAGGUUUGGGUAUCUUGUGUUUUGGUGGGGUGUGUGGGCGCUGCUACAGAGGGGACAGGUUUUACCACAUGUUAACCAGGAAGUGGGCCUCUCCCAGGCACACAGGCUAAGACAAUCAGGCUAGGUACAAGGGCACUGACAGAAGUGAUGUUUUGUUGUGCAACUGGCCACUGAAAGCAGUCUAAAGCCAUGCACUGACAGCAGUGCACAGCCGCAGACUCUUUAAAAAGGGUCCGAUUGUGUGACAUACGAACACAAGAAAGUGAAAUACAACGUCCUAGGUUCCUGGGAGCUUCUCAAGUCAAAGCACUACAGACACAGGCCAUUUCUUGAAAGUUUUGCUGUCAGUGCCUGUCAGCUUUCACCUGUUAAUACUACUAUGUUACUUAAGCAUAUGCACACUUCCCCGCUUCUCUGGUACCCACAUUCUCAUUUUAAGCAGUUGUAUCAGUGGAAGAUGAUGAUCAUGGGUGGGUUUCUAGCUGCUGCCAUUUCUAUGUUGCUGGACCACAUCCAUGUUGGCACUUUGCUAGUGACAUAUGGUGGCUGAGGACUUGUGUCUCUUAGGGAAGCGGAUUUAUUAAAGCAACAGAAAGGCUGCGCUUUGCCAGGCUAUGCCAAAUGUGCAUGCACUGAUGCAUGUAAAUUGGUGGAGAAGAAAAGGCAGCUUCUGUUGCCAAAACUUUGUAGAACAAGCCCUGAAAAAGUAAGCUUUGCAUCUCAUUUUCACAUAGCAGUGAAGUGCAUUCUGUGUAAUCUCAUAUCAUAUGAGGUUACUCAUUGCUGCAUGCUGACUUGAAGUUCUGCGUUUCUUGGCCAAUCAGAAUCAAAUCAAGCAGAAGAAGCAGAACUGAGACCCCAGGGACGGCCAUGACACCCCCUCGGUGGCCAAGUGCCUGUUGUCCCACUCUGGCUCCUUGGGGUACCCUCCCAUUUUACUGUGCCUGCCAAAGCUUGAUGUAACUAAUAAUACUUAGGGAGACUGCCUCAGGGCCCCAAAGUGAGCCUUAGUCUCUCAGCUAUUUAUUGUCUCAAGUGCCUAGCUGGCAUCCAUCUUACUCCUCCGACUCGUGGCCCUUUGGCCCUAUCUGCCUUAGGGCACAAGCCACCUUAGGGCCCAUAAUUAUUGCCUUUGUCCUCCCCUGCAACCACCCCAUGCCUUGCAGAUGUUAUUCUGACCACAUUCUGGACCUUCCUGUAGGAGCCUUUGCCUUCCUGGCUUUAGGCCACUGUUAUUCUGGCUGCAAGCCCACCUGUUCCAGUUUAAUUUUUUUGGCCUCAGCCCUCUCUGUAUCUCGGUCUGGCCUCAUUCUGCUCCAACUCUCAGUCUCUGGGCCCUUAGCUCAGGCAAGGCUGUUCUCAGGUUAACUCAGACCCCUGACAACCCUGGUCCACGGCAGGGCUGCUCAUAGCCUAACCCAGGCCUCUGGCAUCCCCAACCUCAGGCAAGGCUGCUCCCACUUUGCUGGCCCCUGGCACUUUAACUGGGCUCUGCCCCCUCAGUCUCUGACUCUCUGGGGCUGCUAUCUCCAGCCUCUGGCCCCAUGCUGUCACAGUGACACCGCUACUGGUGUCUCCAUGGAAGCUGGCCACAGUGACACAGGCAGGGGCUGCUGGCAAUUAGAGUCUAGCCACCAGCCAGAUCCACCAUUUUGCCCACCCUUGCUCCAAACACUAGGUUUAUAUGCCUCUAAGCACUGCUCCUUCUAGUCAGGUGGCUCCUCAGUUACCUGCAGGUUUUUCUCCUUUGCUUAAUGGCCAGCCCACCCUCUGCUGCAGCCCAAAUAGGGUUGCCAACUCUGUCUGAAUCUCUUCUGAAAUGUUUCAUCACAUGAUGCAGUGACAUUAAUGACUGAUCUGCUGUACUGUACUCAGGAAGGCAAAAGCACAUUGCUAUUAGAUUUUAAAAACACACUGUCCUACUGUAUAAACUGGAUUCAACAUUUAAUAUUUAUGUUAAUGAAUGCCCUAUCAUUUAGCUCCCGGGUGACUCUCGGUAGUCUCCUGGAGAGUAUAUCUAACUCCUGGAGACUCCAGGGCAAUCCUGGAGGGUUGGCAACCCUCAGCCCCACACAGCAAGCUUGCUGCAGUGCAGCUAGCUUUUUGCUCAGCUGCCUGCCUAUCCAGGAAGGCUAGCCCCAGGGGCCAUUGGCUCCCCGUUCCAGUAGACCACUUGUUUUGGCUUUUUUUUGGGUGAUGGCGAGGGAUUGGUAUUUUCUCUGGGCAUGCUAUGCAAGGCAGUUAUGUUUCAGACCCAGGCCUUGGUGAUUCCAUAUGAAUAAUGUAUGUUAGGGGUAUCAAAGAUACAGCCCAAUGCUGCCACUGAGUCUGGCUCUGGCCUGCCAAAAGUCCCAGUCUGGAUCUGACCCAGAGAGCUUGAUGAAUUUGAUACUCCUGUUUAUACAAGUACUACAGAUGGUCUUUGUGCUAAAUGGUAAAAAUAAAGGUAGUUGGGAAGUUGCUUUUAUUUCCAUUACAUAAACAAACAAAAAAGUUGUGUUGCUGUCAUUUUUUCUCUCUUCCCAAAUUUUAGGGGUUUCAUUAGAGAAAGAUCUGAAAACUCAAGGUUGUUAAUGAUUUAAAAGUUACUUUUGUUUUUUUCAGCCAAAAAAGUUACUGGGGAAAAGUAAGGCAAGUGGUAUACCUCUGGCAACUGAGAGUUCCUGGGAUCAAAGUG